GAGCCUCUCCCAUAUAUACAUGUUAUAAAGCUUUGCUUAAUUUUUUCCUGCUAUUCUGUCUCAUGUGAAUUUAAUUCGUUCUCCGGACAGAAGAACCCGCAGCGGGUAGAGGAAAUGUCUUCCUCCCCUACAAUACCAUGCAUCGUUGACUGAAGUGUCAUUAGGCGGCACAUGACUGUAGAAGGUGAAUUUAAUUCGUUCUCCAGCCAGACGAACCCACUUUGGAUAGAGGAAAUGUCUUCCUCCCCUACACUUCCAAGAAGCAUUUCUUGUCCCCUUUCCCAACCUACUUCUGAUGCUGGCUCGCCCUGAGCUAACUGCUGCCAAUCUUCCUCUUCUUGCUGAGGAAGCCUGGCCCUGAGCUAACAUCUGUGCCCAUCUUCCUCCACUUUAUAUGUGGGACGCCUACCACAGCAUGGCGUGCCAAGCAGUGCCAUGUCCCUACCUGGCAUCUGGACCGGCGACCCCUGGGCCACCAAGAAGCGGAACGUGAGGACCUAACCGCUGCGCCACCGGGCCGGCACCCCAUCUGAUUCUUAUCCAAAGAUAUAGAACCACCCGAUGACCAGAACCCCCCCAACCACUGAUGCUAUUUUAAUGAUUUUUUUGCAUGAUCUUUCCUUGUCUUGUAAAGAGAUAACUCACAUACCUAUGCCUUAUAAAUUUAGCCCUACCCUCCACCCAUGUUUGCAGCUCUUCACUGCCCAUGGGUCCUGAGCCCAUGCUACUCCAUGCUAUUCUCUGAAUAAAGGAGCCCUACUACCAGACCUUGAGAGUCCAAGAAAUCUUUC
RNAcentral lists this long non-coding RNA (791 nucleotides) under Equus caballus (horse). RNAcentral describes it as "lncRNA (ENSECAG00000053728.1)". Lineage: Eukaryota; Metazoa; Chordata; Mammalia; Perissodactyla; Equidae. The record is from RNAcentral.